CGGGUGGUAAUGCCGGAUGCUCCAUCACACUGCAUGGUGUGUUGGGAAAGCCUUUGCGGCAUGGGAUGGGGUCGCGUCCUAUCAGCUUGAUGGCGGGGUAACGGCCCACCAUGGCUUCGACGGGUAGCCGGCCUGAGAGGGCGACCGGCCACAUUGGGACUGAGAUACGGCCCAGACUCCUACGGGAGGCAGCAGUGGGGAAUAUUGCACAAUGGGCGCAAGCCUGAUGCAGCGACGCCGCGUGAGGGAUGGAGGCCUUCGGGUUGUAAACCUCUUUUGUUAGGGAGCAAGGCAUUUUGUGUUGAGUGUACCUUUCGAAUAAGCACCGGCUAACUACGUGCCAGCAGCCGCGGUAAUACGUAGGGUGCAAGCGUUAUCCGGAAUUAUUGGGCGUAAAGGGCUCGUAGGCGGUUCGUCGCGUCCGGUGUGAAAGUCCAUCGCUUAACGGUGGAUCCGCGCCGGGUACGGGCGGGCUUGAGUGCGGUAGGGGAGACUGGAAUUCCCGGUGUAACGGUGGAAUGUGUAGAUAUCGG
Molecule: ribosomal RNA, 533 nt
Filed under: Bifidobacterium breve
Lineage: Bacteria; Bacillati; Actinomycetota; Actinomycetes; Bifidobacteriales; Bifidobacteriaceae
Description: bacterial SSU rRNA
Rfam family: Bacterial small subunit ribosomal RNA
Source: RNAcentral